RNAcentral lists this ribosomal RNA (548 nucleotides) under uncultured bacterium. RNAcentral's name for it is "partial 16S ribosomal RNA". It matches the Rfam family "Bacterial small subunit ribosomal RNA", at positions 355 to 920 of the family's 1533-position model. The record is from RNAcentral.
UGGGGAAUAUUGCACAAUGGGCGAAAGCCUGAUGCAGCAACGCCGCGUGAGUGAUGAAGGCCUUCGGGUUGUAAAGCUCUGUCUUUUGGGACGAUAAUGACGGUACCAAAGGAGGAAGCCACGGCUAACUACGUGCCAGCAGCCGCGGUAAUACGUAGGUGGCAAGCGUUGUCCGGAUUUACUGGGCGUAAAGGAUGCGUAGGCGGAUUUUUAAGUGAGAUGUGAAAUACCCGGGCUUAACUUGGGUGCUGCAUUUCAAACUGGGAAUCUAGAGUGCGGGAGAGGAGAAUGGAAUUCCUAGUGUAGCGGUGAAAUGCGUAGAGAUUAGGAAGAACACCAGUGGCGAAGGCGAUUCUCUGGACCGUAACUGACGCUGAGGCAUGAAAGCGUGGGUAGCAAACAGGAUUAGAUACCCUGGUAGUCCACGCCGUAAACGAUGAGUACUAGGUGUAGGAGGUAUCGACCCCUUCUGUGCCGCAGUUAACACAAUAAGUACUCCGCCUGGGAAGUACGAUCGCAAGAUUAAAACUCAAAGAAUUGACGGGGUC